Molecule: non-coding RNA, 1755 nt
Organism: Malus domestica (apple)
Lineage: Eukaryota; Viridiplantae; Streptophyta; Magnoliopsida; Rosales; Rosaceae
Source: RefSeq, a predicted model, not a curated record
AAUCUUUAAUAUUAGAAAGCCAGCAAUCAACUUUGGUGUCUCAAGGCUUCACCAAAAUUUCUGGACAAAAACACCCCUAAAACAAAAAAAAUCCAAAACUAACAAAAAAUAACACAGCAAACACAACAUGGGUAAUUUUGUCAAAAAGAAAAAAGGGCAGUUAUCAAAUUAAAAAGUUAAAAAAAAUUAAAUUAAAUACAAAGAGCAAUUCACGCAUUCAAACACGGUUAACCUUACUUUGACGUGAUGAAACCGUUUCACACGCAAAGGUGGAUUUGGAACUGAACAGAAAACUGUAAUAAAAAAGUUACAUAAAGCCGAGAAAAAAAAAGUAGAACGUGGCAUUCAAACGUCCACGUUGUGUAGAAAAAACAAACUGGAGAAGAUGGAGUUCAGAACGUGGAAUAUACACAGUUAUCGGAAGAGAGUUUAUCUUUUUAUUCCAAGUUUACAGUUAUCGGAAGACAGUUUACCUUUUUGGUUUCUCUACUGCAAAAUUUGCGAUGGUUUUAUGAGGGAGAACGAGGACGACGCAGUUCAAUCUCCAUCCACAUUUUUACAGGAUGAUUGGUGAAUCCCCAGUGAUCGAUGCGUUUUCAAUAUAUGAGUUGGUGGUUUCGUUCUUUUGGGGAAAAUAGCGGAAGAAGAGGGAACAAAAAUAGUUUUGAGUCAUCCUGUUCUGUUUUAGAUUUGGGCCUCAAGAGCGGAGCAGAAGAGGACUUGAUCAUGUUUUUUUUCUUCAUUUAGAUGGUUGAUCUACUCUCUUAUUUGGCGCUCUGACUUUUUUAUCUGCUUCUAUUUCCUAGGUGUAUUUUUUUAUAGACAAUUGGUGGACGAUGGUUUGACGGGACGACGAUCUAUGCUUUAUUUUAUGGGCUGCCCAUUUUCUUAACAUGUCUCUCACACUUCCCAUUCAGUUUUUCCUAUUUUUCAAUCUUUCUCUCUUCGCCUGUAGAGCCGUCAGGUGUGUCGAAGUGGUUGGAUGUGUUUAAUUGAUGUGAAAGAACUGGCGUGCUCUGAGAGGCUACGUGAAGGGUAUAUUUCUAUUUUCUUUUUCUUCCAUGUUUUAUUUAUUUAUUGGUGAUCAAAUGAUACUUUGUUCUUCUUCCAUUUUGGAAGAAAAAUGUUAUAAUUGCUCUAUUCUGUAAUGGUUUUAAGGCUCUACAGAUGUCCUUAAUUGUUUAUGUCAUGUUUAGUUUAUCGUAAUAAUCUACGAUCAAACCUAUAUAUGUAGUAUGAACGCUAUAUCAUAGAAGGGAUUUUAUUUUCUUACUUUGUAUUCAGAGGAAACAAAGAAAAACCAUGGGAAGACAUCUACAGUCGGUCCAGGAACAAUGAUUAUAGAAUUUGGUUCAACUUCUUCUUAUUUCCUGUAAUCAGUUCAACUUCUUAAUUCCUUAUAUUCAGUUGUUUAAAAUAUUGUUCAACGAAGAGUUGCUUGGCUAUUAAUUAGUGUAAGAUUCAGAGGAAUGUAGUUUAUCAUACUCAAGAGUGCAGGUACACAUAAUUUUAUAUGUAAUUGAUUCUUCUUCGCUAAUAAUCUUCCCCUAUUUCCUUUUGUUCUGUAUAUAAUGGAUCGUCUUAAAUUUACAGGUUCAUGCCUCAUUCAGGCUGCAAAGGAUUUGAUUACUUUCUUUUUAGGAAUAUGAACUGAAACAACUUCAUAGUUCGGGUGUAAUUAUUUGUCUUAUCAAGUAAAUAACUGUAUCUUAUGAUCUGUUUGUUUUUUUCAUGCAUGGGAUUGUAUUUUUGAUU